RNAcentral lists this ribosomal RNA (383 nucleotides) under Lysmata ankeri. Its description in RNAcentral is "partial 12S ribosomal RNA". Lineage: Eukaryota; Metazoa; Arthropoda; Malacostraca; Decapoda; Hippolytidae. The record is from RNAcentral.
UGGUAUUCUUGAUUCUAAUAUAAAAGCUUUGGUAGUAAACAGCUAUAGGCUCGAAAACUAAAGGAUUUGGCGGUAUUUUAGUCCAUUUAGAGGAACCUGUCCGAGAAUCGAUAAACCACGAAGAAUCUUACUCUAUUUAGUAUAACUCAGUCUGUAUACCGCCAUUACCAGGCGUGUAUAUAAAUCCACGCCUUGAGAGGUUGGUUAAUCUACAAAAUUAGGUCAAGGUGCAGCCUAUAAUAGAGGAUCGAGAUGGGUUACAAUUUUUUAUUUGUAAAUAUCUAGAAAAUAACGAAAAAUUGAGUUUAAAAUUCAAUUUGAAGGCGGAUUUAAAAGUAAUAUUUGUUUAAUAAGAUAAUAUGAGUAUGGCCAUAGAAUAAGUA